GAUCCUGGCUCAGAUUGAACGCUGGCGGCAGGCCUAACACAUGCAAGUCGAACGGUAACAGAAAGCAGCUUGCUGCUUUGCUGACGAGUGGCGGACGGGUGAGUAAUGUCUGGGAAACUGCCUGAUGGAGGGGGAUAACUACUGGAAACGGUAGCUAAUACCGCAUAACGUCGCAAGACCAAAGAGGUCGGUACGUCGGCUNUC
This 204-nucleotide ribosomal RNA is filed under the name uncultured bacterium. Its description in RNAcentral is "partial 16S ribosomal RNA". It matches the Rfam family "Bacterial small subunit ribosomal RNA", at positions 15 to 218 of the family's 1533-position model. The record is from RNAcentral.